AUUGAACGCUGGCGGCAUGAUUUACACAUGCAAGUCGAACGGUAACAGGCCGCAAGGUGCUGACGAGUGGCGAACGGGUGAGUAAUGCAUCGGAACGUGCCCAGUCGUGGGGGAUAACUACUCGAAAGAGUAGCUAAUACCGCAUACGAUCUAUGGAUGAAAGCGGGGGACCGUAAGGCCUCGCGCGAUUGGAGCGGCCGAUGUCAGAUUAGGUAGUUGGUGGGGUAAAGGCUCACCAAGCCAACGAUCUGUAGCUGGUCUGAGAGGACGACCAGCCACACUGGGACUGAGACACGGCCCAGACUCCUACGGGAGGCAGCAGUGGGGAAUUUUGGACAAUGGGCGCAAGCCCGAUCCAGCAAUGCCGCGUGCAGGAAGAAGGCCUUCGGGUUGUAAACUGCUUUUGUACGGAACGAAACGGCUCUGGUUAAUACCCGGGGCUAAUGACGGUACCGUAAGAAUAAGCACCGGCUAACUACGUG
RNAcentral lists this ribosomal RNA (482 nucleotides) under uncultured bacterium. RNAcentral describes it as "partial 16S ribosomal RNA". It matches the Rfam family "Bacterial small subunit ribosomal RNA", at positions 30 to 507 of the family's 1533-position model. The record is from RNAcentral.